RNAcentral lists this unclassified non-coding RNA (351 nucleotides) under soil metagenome. RNAcentral describes it as "partial contains 5.8S ribosomal RNA, internal transcribed spacer 2, and large subunit ribosomal RNA". The stretch from base 3 to 120 matches the Rfam family "5.8S ribosomal RNA", at positions 37 to 154 of the family's 154-position model. The record is from RNAcentral.
GGUGAAGAACGUAGCGAAACGCGAUAUGUAAUGUGAAUUGCAGAAUUCAGUGAAUCAUCGAAUCUUUGAACGCACAUGGCGCCUUCCAGUAUCCUGGGAGGCAUGCCUGUCCGAGCGUCGUUUCAACCCUCGAGCCCCCGUGGCCCGGCGUUGGGGAUCUGCCACGGCAGGCCCCUAAAACCAGUGGCGGACCCGAAGGCCCUCUCCUUUGCGCAGUAGCAUCAGCCUCGCAUUGGGAUCCCUCGGCGUCCUGCCUCUAAACCCCCCACAAGUCCGCUCCGGCGGCACCAAGGUUGACCUCGGAUCAGGUAGGAAUACCCGCUGAACUUAAGCAUAUCAAUAAGCGGAGGA